UGCAGUCGAGCGGACAGAUGGGAGCUUGCUCCCUGAUGUUAGCGGCGGACGGGUGAGUAACACGUGGGUAACCUGCCUGUAAGACUGGGAUAACUCCGGGAAACCGGGGCUAAUACCGGAUGCUUGUUUGAACCGCAUGGUUCAAACAUAAAAGGUGGCUUCGGCUACCACUUACAGAUGGACCCGCGGCGCAUUAGCUAGUUGGUGAGGUAAUGGCUCACCAAGGCGACGAUGCGUAGCCGACCUGAGAGGGUGAUCGGCCACACUGGGACUGAGACACGGCCCAGACUCCUACGGGAGGCAGCAGUAGGGAAUCUUCCGCAAUGGACGAAAGUCUGACGGAGCAACGCCGCGUGAGUGAUGAAGGUUUUCGGAUCGUAAAGCUCUGUUGUUAGGGAAGAACAAGUACCGUUCGAAUAGGGCGGUACCUUGACGGUACCUAACCAGAAAGCCACGGCUAACUACGUGCCAGCAGCCGCGGUAAUACGUAGGUGGCAAGCGUUGUCCGGAAUUAUUGGGCGUAAAGGGCUCGCAGGCGGUUUCUUAAGUCUGAUGUGAAAGCCCCCGGCUCAACCGGGGAGGGUCAUUGGAAACUGGGGAACUUGAGUGCAGAAGAGGAGAGUGGAAUUCCACGUGUAGCGGUGAAAUGCGUAGAGAUGUGGAGGAAC
This 668-nucleotide ribosomal RNA is filed under the name Bacillus sp. (in: firmicutes). RNAcentral describes it as "bacterial SSU rRNA". It matches the Rfam family "Bacterial small subunit ribosomal RNA", at positions 56 to 707 of the family's 1533-position model. The record is from RNAcentral. Lineage: Bacteria; Bacillati; Bacillota; Bacilli; Caryophanales; Bacillaceae.